Long non-coding RNA from Brienomyrus brachyistius, 966 nucleotides. RefSeq lists it as uncharacterized. NCBI's taxonomy places the organism in Eukaryota, Metazoa, Chordata, Actinopteri, Osteoglossiformes, Mormyridae. The record is from RefSeq and is a predicted model, not a curated record. The transcript is spliced from 2 exons.
GGAAGUCUAGUCUGCCUCCUGGAAAAUCACAACCGAGGCAAAGUUUAAUACUCAUUAUUUUCCCGAGUUUCAGUUAGUGAUUGUUCUUAACAUAACGAAGUAUAUCGAACUAUGUAUGGUAUAAACACAGCCAUAAGCAUUAUCUGCUAUUGCAAACUGAACCGUUGGACACAAGGAAAAAAUGGAGGCUGUAAUCUGAUACAGAAGUGGAGUUUUCCUAGGAAAAUCAGACACCCGUGUUGCAGAGCAGAUAGUCCAUCAGUUGCAGCUUUGAUUCCCUGGACAGAUGCUGCUUCAGGAGCAGUUGCAUGAAAUCAAAGGUUUUGCGCAUUGAUGGCUGCCGGAGGCGCGCUGCAGGGGGGCAGGCUUCGCAAGGCUGCGGCUUUCGGCCCAGCCGGAGACGGCCGCAGGUCCGUGGCUCAGAGUGCUGACACUGCUGUUCUUCUGAGAAAGGAUGCUGGACGCAGCUGCUGAGUUAGCACAGAGUUCCCCCUGAUGCUCACGCACUGCUUGUGAAUUCCCUUACCAAAUUGCGCAGUGCAAUGCCCACAAACAAAAAAGAAGGACACUACAGAGCGAAUGUCUUCCUCUAAAUAAUGCGGCCACUGCAUACUGUUGCAUUUUGUCUGCAUUCCAGUGAUGAACAGGAACGGUUCAAUAGAAGGCAGAUGACGUUAGAAGCAAAUUCAGCCCAUAGAGAUUCCUGGAAUGACACCAGUCCCACACCACUGACUAUCAUGGUCUGAGUCAGUAACUAUGACUGAUUCCACGAUUCUGUUUGUGUGUAUUAUUAAUACCCCUGGGUAUUAAUUUUCAUGAAAUCUGCUAUCUCCUGCUAUCACCAGACACUUCAAGUACUGAAAUUCUCCAGUACACAUUUUUCUGAGAAUAUUCCGUACUUUACAUAACCAGUACAAUCAAAGACUUUGUUGCAAUCAGGAAAAUACAUAUUACCUCUUCCUCGUA